AAUAGAUACCCGGGUAGUCCACGCCCUAAACGAUGCGAACUAGGUGUUGGGGAAGGAGACUUCUUUAGUACCGUAGCUAACGCGUGAAGUUCGCCGCCUGGGGAGUACGGUCGCAAGAUUAAAACUCAAAGGAAUUGACGGGGACCCGCACAAGCGGUGGACGAUGUGGAUUAAUUCGAUGCAACGCGAAAAACCUUACCUACCCUUGACAUGUCCGGAACCCUGGUGAGAGCCGGGGGUGCCCGAAAGGGAAUCGGAACACAGGUGCUGCAUGGCUGUCGUCAGCUCGUGUCGUGAGAUGUUGGGUUAAGUCCCGCAACGAGCGCAACCCUUGCCACUAAUUGCCAUCAUUUGGUUGGGCACUUUAGUGGGACUGCCGGUGACAAACCGGAGGAAGGUGGGGAUGACGUCAAGUCCUCAUGGCCCUUAUGGGUAGGGCUUCACACGUCAUACAAUGGUCGGUACAGAGGGUUGCCAAGCCGCGAGGUGGAGCCAAUCCCAGAAAGCCGAUCGUAGUCCGGAUCGCAGUCUGCAACUCGACUGCGUGAAGUCGGAA
Molecule: ribosomal RNA, 556 nt
Filed under: uncultured bacterium
Lineage: Bacteria
Description: bacterial SSU rRNA
Rfam family: Bacterial small subunit ribosomal RNA
Source: RNAcentral